Molecule: ribosomal RNA, 530 nt
Filed under: uncultured bacterium
Lineage: Bacteria
Description: partial 16S ribosomal RNA
Rfam family: Bacterial small subunit ribosomal RNA
Source: RNAcentral
UGGGGAAUUUUGGACAAUGGGCGAAAGCCUGAUCCAGCAAUGCCGCGUGUGUGAAGAAGGCCUUCGGGUUGUAAAGCACUUUUGUCCGGAAAGAAAUCCUUGGCUCUAAUACAGUCGGGGGAUGACGGUACCGGAAGAAUAAGCACCGGCUAACUACGUGCCAGCAGCCGCGGUAAUACGUAGGGUGCAAGCGUUAAUCGGAAUUACUGGGCGUAAAGCGUGCGCAGGCGGUUUGCUAAGACCGAUGUGAAAUCCCCGGGCUCAACCUGGGAACUGCAUUGGUGACUGGCAGGCUAGAGUAUGGCAGAGGGGGGUAGAAUUCCACGUGUAGCAGUGAAAUGCGUAGAGAUGUGGAGGAAUACCGAUGGCGAAGGCAGCCCCCUGGGCCAAUACUGACGCUCAUGCACGAAAGCGUGGGGGAGCAAAACAGGAUUAGAUACCCUGGUAGUCCACGCCCUAAAACGAUGUCAACUAGUUGUUGGGGGAUUCAUUUCCUUAGUAACGUAGCUAACGCGUGAAGUUGACCGCCU